CAUAGGGCUGUCUCUUCACUCUCCCACCCGUCAUUGAACAUGUCGUGGUCGGGAUGCUUCCGAUCGGUUGCCUGUGCGGUUCUACCCUCUUGUGGGUAGCGAACUCGUCCCUUGAUGGAUAUAUGCUUGCCCUUGUGACAUUUUUGUGUCGUUUGGGCAGCCGAAAUGUUGGCGAUAUCCUUGUGUUGGCGCGUGGUUGAAUGAUGUGUUGCUAUCACUUGGAUUUUUGCCGGCUCUCACGGAUGCGGUGCCUAGCGCUAGCUCUGCGGGACUUUGCCCCGCAGACUUCGGGAGGUCCCUUGUACGAAUCAUUGCUCUUAUACGCCGUCUUGUCGUGCCGCUACCGUGGCACGCAGAUCGUGUUCUUUCGUGCAGUCGUUGACAGCACGAAAGCGAACAUUAGUGUCCGGAGCGUGGUCUUGUGCACGUGGAAUGCCUCUCCGAUCGUAUGAGUAGCGA
RNAcentral lists this unclassified non-coding RNA (459 nucleotides) under Carex angustisquama. Its description in RNAcentral is "partial miscellaneous RNA". Lineage: Eukaryota; Viridiplantae; Streptophyta; Magnoliopsida; Poales; Cyperaceae. The record is from RNAcentral.